Molecule: unclassified non-coding RNA, 305 nt
Filed under: plant metagenome
Description: partial contains 5.8S ribosomal RNA, internal transcribed spacer 2, and large subunit ribosomal RNA
Rfam family: 5.8S ribosomal RNA (bases 1-105)
Source: RNAcentral
GAAAUGCGAUAAGUAGUGUGAAUUGCAGAAUUCAGUGAAUCAUCGAAUCUUUGAACGCACAUUGCGCCCUUUGGUAUUCCUUAGGGCAUGCCUGUUCGAGCGUCAUCUAAACCUUCAAGCCCUGCUUGGUGUUGGGUGCCUGUCCCGCCUCCGCGCGCGGACUCACCUCAAAUCCAUUGGCGGCCCCCGCGUCGGCCACGAGCGCAGCAGAGACGCGAACUCGUGAGCCCGUCCGGGCGGCUCCCAGAAGCUACACCCACCCAGUUUGACCUCGGAUCAGGUAGGGAUACCCGCUGAACUUAAGC